This 469-nucleotide ribosomal RNA is filed under the name Terrahaemophilus aromaticivorans. Its description in RNAcentral is "bacterial SSU rRNA". It matches the Rfam family "Bacterial small subunit ribosomal RNA", at positions 30 to 486 of the family's 1533-position model. Lineage: Bacteria; Pseudomonadati; Pseudomonadota; Gammaproteobacteria; Pasteurellales; Pasteurellaceae. The record is from RNAcentral.
AUUGAACGCUGGCGGCAGGCUUAACACAUGCAAGUCGAACGGUAACAUAAAGAAGCUUGCUUCUUUGAUGACGAGUGGCGGACGGGUGAGUAAUGCUUGGGAAUCUAGCUUAUGGAGGGGGAUAACUACGGGAAACUGUAACUAAUACCGCGUAGAAUCGAGAGAUGAAAGUGUGGGACCUUCGGGCCACAUGCCAUAGGAUGAGCCCAAGUGGGAUUAGGUAGUUGGUGAGGUAAAGGCUCACCAAGCCGACGAUCUCUAGCUGGUCUGAGAGGAUGACCAGCCACACUGGGACUGAGACACGGCCCAGACUCCUACGGGAGGCAGCAGUGGGGAAUAUUGCGCAAUGGGGGCAACCCUGACGCAGCCAUGCCGCGUGAAUGAAGAAGGCCUUCGGGUUGUAAAGUUCUUUCGGUAGCGAGGAAGGCAUUUAGUUUAAUAGACUAGGUGAUUGACGUUAACUACAGAA